GAUGAAGAACGUAGCGAAAUGCGAUAAGUAAUGUGAAUUGCAGAAUUCAGUGAAUCAUCGAAUCUUUGAACGCACAUUGCGCCCGCCAGUAUUCUGGCGGGCAUGCCUGUUCGAGCGUCAUUUCAACCAUCAAGCCCCCGGCUUGUGUUGGGGACCUGCGGCUGCCGCAGGCCCUGAAAACCAGUGGCGGGCUCGCUAGUCACUCCGAGCGUAGUAAUACAUCUCGCUCAGGGCGUGCUGCGGGUUCCGGCCGUUAAAAAGCCUUAUUUACCCAAGGUUGACCUCGGAUCAGGUAGGAAGACUCGCUGAACUUAAGCAUAUCAAUAAGCGGAGGA
RNAcentral lists this unclassified non-coding RNA (335 nucleotides) under soil metagenome. Its description in RNAcentral is "partial contains 5.8S ribosomal RNA, internal transcribed spacer 2, and large subunit ribosomal RNA". The stretch from base 1 to 120 matches the Rfam family "5.8S ribosomal RNA", at positions 35 to 154 of the family's 154-position model. The record is from RNAcentral.